RNAcentral lists this ribosomal RNA (216 nucleotides) under Eubacterium sp. RNAcentral's name for it is "partial 16S ribosomal RNA". It matches the Rfam family "Bacterial small subunit ribosomal RNA", at positions 337 to 551 of the family's 1533-position model. Lineage: Bacteria; Bacillati; Bacillota; Clostridia; Eubacteriales; Eubacteriaceae. The record is from RNAcentral.
UCCUACGGGAGGCAGCAGUGAGGAAUAUUGGUCAAUGGGCGGGAGCCUGAACCAGCCAAGUCGCGUGAGGGAAGACGGUCCUAUGGAUUGUAAACCUCUUUUGUCGGGGAGCAAAGCGGCCACGUGUGGUCAAAAGCGAGAGUACCCGAAGAAAAAGCAUCGGCUAACUCCGUGCCAGCAGCCGCGGUAAUACUCCGUGCCAGCAGCCGCGGUAAU